GUUUGAUUAUGGCUCAGGAUCCNUUCUGGCGGUCUGCUUAACACAUGCAAGUCGAACGAACUCUUCGGAGUGAGUGGCGGACGGGUGAGCAACGCGUGAGAAUCUGCCUGUGGGUCGGGGACAACUACUGGAAACGGUGGCUAAUACCGGAUGAGCCGAAAGGUAAAAGAUUUAUUGCCCACAGAUGAGCUCGCGUCUGAUUAGCUAGUUGGUAAGGUAAAAGCGUACCAAGGCGACGAUCAGUAGCUGGUCUGAGAGGAUGAGCAGCCACACUGGGACUGAGACACGGCCCAGACUCCUACGGGAGGCAGCAGUGGGGAAUUUUCCGCAAUGGGCGAAAGCCUGACGGAGCAAGACCGCGUGGGGGAGGAAGGUUUUUGGAUCGUAAACCCCUUUUGUCAAGGAAGAAGCUCUGACGGUACUUGACGAAUAAGCCUCGGCUAACUCCGUGCCAGCAGCCGCGGUAAUACGGAGGAGGCAAGCGUUAUCCGGAAUGAUUGGGCGUAAAGCGUCUGUAGGUGGCCAGCUAAGUCUGCUGUUAAAGAUCACAGCUCAACUGUGGGAAGGCAGUGGAAACUGGCAAGCUAGAGGUUGGUAGGGGUAAAGGGAAUUCCCGGUGUAGCGGUGAAAUGCGUAGGUAUCGGGAAGAACACCGGUGGCGAAAGCGCUUUACUGGGCCAGACCUGACACUGAAGGACGAAAGCUAGGGGAGCGAAAGGGAUUAGAUACCCCUGUAGUCCUAGCUGUAAACGAUGGAGACUAGGUGUAGCACGUAUCGACCCGUGCUGUAUCGUAGCCAACGCGUUAAGUCUCCCGCCUGGGGAGUACGCACGCAAGUGUGAAACUCAAAGGAAUUGACGGGGGCCCGCACAAGCGGUGGAGUAUGUGGUUUAAUUCGAUGCAACGCGAANAACCUUACCAGGGCUUGACAUGUCNCGAAUCUUGAUGAAANGUNGAGAGUGCCUUCNGGAGCGCGAACACAG
Molecule: ribosomal RNA, 983 nt
Filed under: uncultured bacterium
Lineage: Bacteria
Description: bacterial SSU rRNA
Rfam family: Bacterial small subunit ribosomal RNA
Source: RNAcentral